AGAGGCAGAAGUCUGACACCAGGGUGCUGUUGAGGCCCGAGUUCUGUGAGAAUACACCUCUUUUCAGGAAUGCAAUUGGUCAACUCCUUGCAUCUUGGCAGUGGAAAGAGGGUUUCUUUCUGAAAUCGGGUCUCAGCACCACUCUAGGGAGAGGAGAAUACAUCACGGUUAAAUGCGCUGGGGGUCCUUGCUGAAGUGUCUGCUGCACAGUACAAUCUCAACAAUGUUGAUGGCAGUGAUGGAUCUGGGCCAGAACUUUUGCAGAGAUGGUGAUGAGAAGGCUGUAGCUACCUCUGGAACUAAAGGAAGAUCCUCAGAGCACAAGACUGAACUGCCUUCAGAAAGUUAAGUAACAAACCGUGGCCAUCAUUUUCACUGUCAAUGCUGAUAUGCCAGGAAGAAUUCAACAAAUUGAUGAAUGUCACUAUGACCAGAUAUCUGACAAAAAUCAAUGUAAAGGGGAACAGGUUUAUUUUAGCUCCCAGCUUGGAGAAACACAGUCCAUCAUGGAAGCAAAGGUGUGGAGAUGGUGGAAGUGGCUUCACGAUGCAGACCAGGAAGCAAACAAGAGAACAAAUGCUAAUAUUCA
Molecule: non-coding RNA, 589 nt
Organism: Peromyscus maniculatus bairdii (prairie deer mouse)
Lineage: Eukaryota; Metazoa; Chordata; Mammalia; Rodentia; Cricetidae
Source: RefSeq, a predicted model, not a curated record